UGAGGAAUAUUGGUCAAUGGGCGAGAGCCUGAACCAGCCAAGUAGCGUGAAGGAUGAAGGUCCUAUGGAUUGUAAACUUCUUUUAUAGUAGAAUAAAGUGACCCACGUGUGGGUUUUUGUAUGUAUACUAUGAAUAAGGAUCGGCUAACUCCGUGCCAGCAGCCGCGGUAAUACGGAGGAUCCGAGCGUUAUCCGGAUUUAUUGGGUUUAAAGGGUGCGUAGGCGGAAUAAUAAGUCAGUUGUGAAAGUUUGCGGCUCAACCGUAAAAUUGCAGUUGAUACUGUUAUUCUUGAGUGUACAUAAGGUAGUCGGAAUUCGUGGUGUAGCGGUGAAAUGCUUAGAUAUCACGAAGAACUCCAAUUGCGAAGGCAGCUUACCGGGGUACAACUGACGCUGAAGCACGAAAGUGUGGGUAUCAAACA
RNAcentral lists this ribosomal RNA (422 nucleotides) under uncultured prokaryote. RNAcentral describes it as "bacterial SSU rRNA". It matches the Rfam family "Bacterial small subunit ribosomal RNA", at positions 355 to 774 of the family's 1533-position model. The record is from RNAcentral.